CAGUCGCCGCGGGAAUACAGAGGGUGCAAGCGUUAAUCGGAAUUACUGGGCGUAAAGCGCGCGUAGGUGGUUUGUUAAGUUGGAUGUGAAAUCCCCGGGCUCAACCUGGGAACUGCAUCCAAAACUGGCAAGCUAGAGUAUGGUAGAGGGUGGUGGAAUUUCCUGUGUAGCGGUGAAAUGCGUAGAUAUAGGAAGGAACACCAGUGGCGAAGGCGACCACCUGGACUGAUACUGACACUGAGGUGCGAAAGCGUGGGGAGCAAACAGGAUUAGAUACCCCCGUAGUCCCUGUCUCUUAUAA
This 301-nucleotide ribosomal RNA is filed under the name uncultured bacterium. RNAcentral's name for it is "partial 16S ribosomal RNA". It matches the Rfam family "Bacterial small subunit ribosomal RNA", at positions 509 to 809 of the family's 1533-position model. The record is from RNAcentral.